CUAGUUUAGUCACUUUGUCCCGUGCCACUUGAUAGAAAGGUUUUAACUAGUAAUCUAUUCCAUAUGAGUUUGGUGGACUUUUAUAUAUGUUCAGCAUUUGGAUGAUGACGGGAAUGAGAAGACAGUCCACAGGAAUUUAAUCAUUCUUACAGGAACAAGGAAAGAAUCAUAUACAGAAGUAUGGGCCUGAGGAAACGAUGAAAGAGAAACCCAGAAAGAAUGGCAAGAAAGUGGGAAAGAAGUUAGCUGAGAGGAAGCAGCAGAGUAAUGAGUCGGAGGAUGAAGCUUGAUAGAUCUAGAAGUUGGGCGCAAUGAUUUGGCACAACAGACAGAACUAGUGCAGCCAGGAGAAACUUCAGAAGAACAGGUACCGGUACAGAGAAAAUAAUGAAGUUGAGUUGUGCAGAUCAUCAAGGGUUAAGAAGAAACCCAAGUGGCAUGAAUCAUAAUAAUGUAAUUAUGUUAUGAGUCAGAGAGAAGUUGGUGAUUUGGGUGAAAAGACACAAUUGCUGACAAACUUGAUCUGUUCCGAAAUUUUGAAAACUACUUCUCCUACCCUGGUUGAGAAGGUCGUAAACUCUAUUGUUAAAUGAUGGGACAUCAUUUCAUAGAUUGGGGGAUGUAGCAAAGCAGAAAUCUCAUGUACUAUUUUGAUUUUAACUUUAUUCAUAUAUAAUUAUGCAAGGUAAGUGAAUUAAUAAAAAGUUUUACAAAUAUCUUUAAUUAGAAAGUUAUUAAAAGUGUCUGUGAUGAAUUAUUUUAUAUUUUCCUUAAUCAACUAUUUUCCCGCCAAAAUCAUGGUGAGCGAUUGGUUAAUAUAUGACACAUCACUUGGAAGGUGGACAGGUUUCACUUUGUCCCGUGCUACUUGAUAGAAAGGUAGUAGCAAGUAAUCUAUUGCAAUAGGAGUUUGGUGGACUUUUAUACAUGUUCAGCAUUUGGCUUAAGGAACUGGCGGCAUGAUUUGGAAGGAAUAUCAUACAUGACCCGUGGUGGUUUAAAGGGCCUGUGAUUG
Ostrea edulis (European flat oyster) is the source of this 1015-nucleotide long non-coding RNA. RefSeq lists it as uncharacterized. Lineage: Eukaryota; Metazoa; Mollusca; Bivalvia; Ostreida; Ostreidae. The record is from RefSeq and is a predicted model, not a curated record. The transcript has 3 exons.